CUCUCUCUACCUCUGGAGGUGGAAUAUCAGGAUAAAAACACCUACAGCUGUGUGCUGAACAAUCCCAUCAGCAACCAGACUCAACAUCUGGACAUCACUCACCUCUGUCACACAUGUGCAGGUACAGCAGAGCUGAUAUAUGUGAUUAUUUACACAUUCACUUACAUUAAUGACUGUCUCUCUUUUACUCCAGUCUCAGUGUCUCUGAUAGUGUUGAUCUCUGUUGCUGCUGCUGCUGCUGGAUUUCUGUUGAUUAUAUUUGCAGUCGGAAUCUGGUGCAUCUGCAGGAAACGUAAAAAAGCAGAUGUUAAUGCAGACCAGACCCAUGAGAAAGACAAAACUGAUUCAGCAUUGUGUAAACCAACAAAACGAAAGAAGAAAUCAAAGGAGCCCGUGUAUGGAAAUUUCAAAUCAAAACGGUGAUCAGAUUCAACAUCUCUGCCAUCUUCCUGAUUGUUUUUUUCCUCUCUUUCUUUAAUGUUUUUUUUUUCUUUUGCAACUCUCAUAAGUUGAUAUUGUUGUAUCUGAAAUUGUGUUGCUCUGUAUUCAUUUAAUUUAGUGAUUCACAAGUGGCGUAGCAUCCAGAAACUCAACUAAAUGUUUUAUCUUAACACGCAUAGAAAUUUAUUAACUUUAUUGAAAAUGUAUUUAUCCCACCCUUCCCGUUUAAAAAGAAAACUGAAUAGCAAUAUAGUUGCUCAGUUUGUCACACGUUCUGCUGGAUAUUUUGGCAAAAUAAGCACAACCACAUCAUCGCCCUCUAGUGCCCAAAGCAGAAAAUCGCAUCUCUCUAUUUUUUCUACUUUUACUCGACACAGUGCGCUAUAAAUAGAUGCUGCAGUUCACACAGAGGAAGAACUGAAGAACCAAUAUAACGGAGGUCGGCAACCCGCGGCUCUAGAGCCGCGUGCGGCUCUUUAGCGCCCCCCUAGUGGCUCCCUGGACCUUUUUCAAAAAUGUAUGAAAAUGGAAAAAUAUUUUUUGUUUUCAUAUGGUUUCUGUAGGACAAACAUGACACAUUUUUAACGUUUUCCAAUGCUGUAAAAAUGUGUAUAAUAUUAAAUUUCAACAUUUCUGUCAAUGAAGAUUUGCGUCAUAGCCUGCAACACACGUUUCAGCCAUAGACUGUAAAAGGUUUCAGCCUCAGCGCGGCAACGUCACUUUCCCGCCGAAAGCGCGCUCCCUCUGGACUGAGUGGCAAAAGAACCUGCUGCGUGACUGGAUUUAA
Molecule: long non-coding RNA, 1228 nt
Organism: Megalobrama amblycephala (Wuchang bream)
Lineage: Eukaryota; Metazoa; Chordata; Actinopteri; Cypriniformes; Xenocyprididae
Exons: 3
Source: RefSeq, a predicted model, not a curated record